Molecule: long non-coding RNA, 390 nt
Organism: Humulus lupulus (European hop)
Lineage: Eukaryota; Viridiplantae; Streptophyta; Magnoliopsida; Rosales; Cannabaceae
Exons: 3
Source: RefSeq, a predicted model, not a curated record
GCUCUUGACCACGUGGUGAUCCAGAAAUUGAAUGCAGAAGGCAGAUUGGAGAAGAAAGAAGCAAAGAAGGGGAGUUAUUUUGACAAGAAUGAGCUUUCAGCUAUCUUGAGAUUUGGAGCAGAGGAACUUUUUAAAGAAGAGAGGAAUGAAGAAGAAAGUAUAUUGAGAUGAUUUCUUUGGAGCAAUUCUUGACAACAUUUGUAGUUGGGGUCUUUAGAAUGGAAGAAUGUAUUUCACUAAUUUUUGUAUACAUUUCUUGUUUUGUAUUUAGUGAUAAAAGAAUCUGAAUUGGGCAUAAAUUAUGUUGUAAUAUGAUUUCUUAAACCUAGACUAGUAGACUAAAUAUUGUAAUUACAUUCGAGUAAUUAAUAAAAAUCUAUUUAUGUUACC